AGGUCGUGAUAGGCGGCAAUGUUGUACCCGUGCCAAUAUUGCACUUGUCCCGGCCUUU
RNAcentral lists this microRNA precursor (58 nucleotides) under Branchiostoma lanceolatum (amphioxus). RNAcentral describes it as "Bla-Mir-92-o2_pre stem-loop". Lineage: Eukaryota; Metazoa; Chordata; Leptocardii; Amphioxiformes; Branchiostomatidae. The record is from RNAcentral.